Long non-coding RNA from Toxorhynchites rutilus septentrionalis, 1089 nucleotides. RefSeq lists it as uncharacterized. The record is from RefSeq and is a predicted model, not a curated record. Lineage: Eukaryota; Metazoa; Arthropoda; Insecta; Diptera; Culicidae. The transcript has 3 exons.
UCACCACUUGCAGGCAAUGGUGAUUUUCACUUACAUAGAGUACUAAUUUGAUUAUGGAAAAAUCAUGUUGAUUCAUAAUUUUCAUUUUAAAAGUGUAUUCAUUCCUUCUACAAAUCCAUACUGUCAUGCCUAUUCCCCAAUAUCGUCAACGCGGAUAGUUCGUUAGUCGAAAAUACUGAAUAAUUAAACAAACCAAAUGGCAUCACUGGUGGUUCUUUUUUCCACUCCGCUAAAUUGUCAUCUCAAACAAAAACAAAUGGAUCAUACAACUGCUAUGAAUACAUUCGACUCGUUCGCUUCCAUCAAUCGGUAAGUGAGAAAGAUGAUUUCUCCCAUCAGCACAGUGCGGAUUUCCACUUUUAUCACAGCAGCCAACAACAUCCGUUUUCCUGCAGCAGUAACCUCCAACCCCUGUUGGCAAUGUCGGGGGACAGCAUUAACAGCAGCAGCAGCAGAAUUUGACCAUGGUAUGGUAUUGCGAAGAACUUUCCCCAUUAGAGGUUCCGUGCUUCGCGCACAUUCAAAAUCCUCUUCAGACACGAAAACUCAACGACAAGGAGGUAUUUAUCAACUUGCUCAGCUGAAUAACCACCCGGAGGAACCCGAAUGCACUGAUUCCGUUGUAUAGUAGAAUGAAAAUAGGCGAGGUAAGCGAACGUAAUCGCAUGAUAUUUUAAUAGUUCGCAUUUUUAUCCGGAUCAUACAACUGCUAUGAAUACAUCCGACUCAAUCAAUCGGCGAGUGAGAAAGAUGAUUUCCCUCAUCACCACAUUGCUUAUUUCCACUUCUGUCACGCCAGCCAACAGCAUCAGCUUUCCCGCAGCAGUAUCCUUUAAGUCCAGGGUGCUAUUCCGGGGAACAGCAGCAGGACCUGGCCAUCGAUAGUAUUUCGAGCAAUUUUCCCCAUCGGAGAUCCCGUGCUUCACGCACAUUGAAGAAACCUCCUCAGCCACAUAUGUGUGUCAAGGAGAAAAAGGAGCUGGAUUCGAAUCGUCAAUCCAGACAACCCGAAUGCACCGAUUGCAUUAUAUAUCUUGUUUAUAUUUUAUAUGCAUUUUGUGUUUUUUUGAAUAAAAUGAUUAAAAUCGA